CACCCUCACCACCCACAACCACCAGCUGUCGCUGCCCACAAGUUAAUAAGAGUAUUUCCAGCCUAAAACCUUUUGAGAAACUCGAUGUGGUUCUCCCCAGUUCUCUAUGUCCACGCCCUGAGAUCAUAGGCAUAGUGAAGGAUACUAAGGAACAAGUAUGUCUGAAUCCAGAUACCCCAACCAUGAAGGUUGUACUGAAAGCAAUUAGAAGAACAAGGUCUUAAACAGCUCCUGUCGACAACUGAAGACAUACUCUCCAGGUGGCUGGCAAGGUUUAACCAGGAUGAAGCCCUCCCAUACAUACAGAGGAAAGUCAAGCCCCAAUUGUUUCUAGCACUUAAUUCUUCUAAAAAAAAAAUAAUCACCAAUCACAAAGAAUUGACUGGCU
Molecule: long non-coding RNA, 388 nt
Filed under: Phascolarctos cinereus (koala)
Lineage: Eukaryota; Metazoa; Chordata; Mammalia; Diprotodontia; Phascolarctidae
Description: lncRNA (ENSPCIG00000014431.2)
Source: RNAcentral